GAGUUUGAUCGUGGCUCAGGACGAACGCUGGCGGCGUGCCUAACACAUGCAAGUCGAACGAAGCUUGAUGAUUGAUUUCUUCGGAAUGAAAUCUGAUAUGACUGAGUGGCGGACGGGUGAGUAACGCGUGAGCAACCUGCCCUUCGGAACGGGAUAGUGUUUGGAAACGGACAGUAAUACCGUAUAACGUAUUUUUACCGCAUGAUAGAAAUACCAAAACUGAGGUGCCGAAGGAUGGGCUCGCGUCUGAUUAGAUAGUUGGUGGGGUAACGGCCUACCAAGUCGACGAUCAGUAGCCGGACUGAGAGGUUGAACGGCCACAUUGGGACUGAGACACGGCCCAGACUCCUACGGGAGGCAGCAGUGGGGAAUAUUGCACAAUGGGGGAAACCCUGAUGCAGCAACGCCGCGUGAAGGAAGACGGUUUUUCGGAUUGUAAACUUCUGUUCUUAGUGAAGAAAAAUGACGGUAGCUAAGGAGCAAGCCACGGCUAACUACGUG
Molecule: ribosomal RNA, 501 nt
Filed under: uncultured bacterium
Lineage: Bacteria
Description: bacterial SSU rRNA
Rfam family: Bacterial small subunit ribosomal RNA
Source: RNAcentral